Molecule: ribosomal RNA, 491 nt
Filed under: uncultured bacterium
Lineage: Bacteria
Description: partial 16S ribosomal RNA
Rfam family: Bacterial small subunit ribosomal RNA
Source: RNAcentral
AGUGAACGCUGGCGGUAGGCCUAACACAUGCAAGUCGAACGGCAGCACAGUAAGAGCUUGCUCUUACGGGUGGCGAGUGGCGGACGGGUGAGGAAUACAUCGGAAUCUACUUUUUCGUGGGGGAUAACGUAGGGAAACUUACGCUAAUACCGCAUACGACCUACGGGUGAAAGCAGGGGAUCUUCGGACCUUGCGCGAUUGAAUGAGCCGAUGUCGGAUUAGCUAGUUGGCGGGGUAAAGGCCCACCAAGGCGACGAUCCGUAGCUGGUCUGAGAGGAUGAUCAGCCACACUGGAACUGAGACACGGUCCAGACUCCUACGGGAGGCAGCAGUGGGGAAGAUUGGACAAUGGGCGCAAGCCUGAUCCAGCCAUACCGCGUGGGUGAAGAAGGCCUUCGGGUUGUAAAGCCCUUUUGUUGGGAAAGAAAAGCAGCAGGUUAAUACCCCGCUGUUCGGACGGUACCCAAAGAAUAAGCACCGGCUAACUUCGG